AACGAACGCUGGCGGCGUGGAUAAGACAUGCAAGUCGAACGCUGAUUUGAGGGUAGCAAUAUUCUCAAGUCGGAGUGGCGCAGGGGUGCGUAACGCGUGGGUAAUUUGCCAUGAAGCCCGGAAUAACUCGCUGAAAGGCGAGCUAAUACCGGAUGUGAUUUUUGGGAGGCAUCUCCUGAAUCUUAAAGCUGGGGACCGUAAGGCCUGGCACUUCAUGAUAAGCCCGCGGCCUAUCAGCUAGUUGGUGAGGUAACGGCUCACCAAGGCUAAGACGGGUAGCUGGUCUGAGAGGACGACCAGCCACACUGGAACUGAGACACGGUCCAAACACCUAUGGGUGGCAGCAGUCAAUAAUUUUUCUCAAUGGGCGAAAGCCUGAAGGAGCGACGCCGCGUGGGGGAUGAAUGGCUUCGGCCCGUAAACCCCUGUCAUUUGCGAACAAACCUUGUCAUUUAAAAGAUGACGAGCUGAUUGUAGCGAAAGAGGAAGGGACGGCUAACUCUGUGCCAGCAGCCGCGGUAAUACAGAGGUCCCAAGCGUUGUUCGGAUUCACUGGGCGUAAAGGGUGCGUAGGUGGUCGGGUAAGUCUGAUGUGAAAUCUCCA
Molecule: ribosomal RNA, 604 nt
Filed under: uncultured bacterium
Lineage: Bacteria
Description: bacterial SSU rRNA
Rfam family: Bacterial small subunit ribosomal RNA
Source: RNAcentral